GGGCUCAUGAGGUAGUGGAUAGCCUGACAGGCCUCGGACCUGUAUGCCGGGGUUCGAAUCCCCGUGAGCCCA
This 72-nucleotide transfer RNA is filed under the name Thermoplasmatota archaeon. Its description in RNAcentral is "Candidatus Thermoplasmatota archaeon (groundwater metagenome) tRNA-Arg". It matches the Rfam family "tRNA". From Rfam's summary of the family: Transfer RNA (tRNA) molecules are approximately 80 nucleotides in length. Lineage: Archaea; Methanobacteriati; Thermoplasmatota. The record is from RNAcentral.